RNAcentral lists this ribosomal RNA (253 nucleotides) under uncultured bacterium. Its description in RNAcentral is "partial 16S ribosomal RNA". It matches the Rfam family "Bacterial small subunit ribosomal RNA", at positions 524 to 776 of the family's 1533-position model. The record is from RNAcentral.
UACGUAGGGAGCAAGCGUUGUCCGGAAUCAUUGGGCGUAAAGCGCGCGUAGGUGGCCUCGUAAGUCCGCUGUGAAAGUCAAAGGCUCAACCUUUGAAAGCCGGUGGAUACUGCAGGGCUAGAGUCCGGAAGAGGCGAGUGGAAUUCCUGGUGUAGCGGUGAAAUGCGCAGAUAUCAGGAGGAACACCGAUGGCGAAGGCAGGUCUCUGGGCCAUAACUGACGCUGAGAAGCGAAAGCAUGGGGAGCGAACAGG